RNAcentral lists this ribosomal RNA (301 nucleotides) under uncultured bacterium. RNAcentral describes it as "partial 16S ribosomal RNA". It matches the Rfam family "Bacterial small subunit ribosomal RNA", at positions 509 to 807 of the family's 1533-position model. The record is from RNAcentral.
CAGUCGCCGCGGGAAUACAGAGGGUGCAAGCGGUAAUCGGAUUUACUGGGCGUAAAGGGCGCGUAGGUGGUUAUGUAAGUGAGAUGUGAAAUCCCCGGGCUCAACCUGGGAACUGCAUCUUAUACUGCGUAGCUGGAGUGCGGUAGAGGGUAGUGGAAUUUCCGGUGUAGCGGUGAAAUGCGUAGAUAUCGGAAGGAACACCAGUGGCGAAGGCGGCUACCUGGACUGACACUGACACUGAGGCGCGAAAGCGUGGGGAGCAAACAGGAUUAGAUACCCCAGUAGUCCCUGUCUCUUAUAC